UGGGGAAUUUUGGACAAUGGGCGAAAGCCUGAUCCAGCAAUGCCGCGUGUGUGAAGAAGGCCUUCGGGUUGUAAAGCACUUUUGUCCGGAAAGAAAUCCUUGGCUCUAAUACAGUCGGGGGAUGACGGUACCGGAAGAAUAAGCACCGGCUAACUACGUGCCAGCAGCCGCGGUAAUACGUAGGGUGCAAGCGUUAAUCGGAAUUACUGGGCGUAAAGCGUGCGCAGGCGGUUUGCUAAGACCGAUGUGAAAUCCCCGGGCUCAACCUGGGAACUGCAUUGGUGACUGGCAGGCUAGAGUAUGGCAGAGGGGGGUAGAAUUCCACGUGUAGCAGUGAAAUGCGUAGAGAUGUGGAGGAAUACCGAUGGCGAAGGCAGCCCCCUGGGCCAAUACUGACGCUCAUGCACGAAAGCGUGGGGAGCAAACAGGAUUAGAUACCCUGGUAGUCCACGCCCUAAACGAUGUCAACUAGUUGUUGGGGAUUCAUUUCCUUAGUAACGUAGCUAACGCGUGAAGUUGACCGCCUGGGGAGUACGGUCGCAAGAUUAAAACUCAGAGGAAUUGACGGGAUCAUAGCUGUUUCCU
This 585-nucleotide ribosomal RNA is filed under the name uncultured bacterium. RNAcentral's name for it is "partial 16S ribosomal RNA". It matches the Rfam family "Bacterial small subunit ribosomal RNA", at positions 355 to 940 of the family's 1533-position model. The record is from RNAcentral.